UGAAUUUCGGUGGCACUCUCACACCUGGGACCAGCCCCAAGUCAGCAACAUCUACUCCUAGAGGAUUCUGUCCUUCCACAGCUUUCAGCCUCUCCUCUAAUCUUCUAAACAUGGGGUCCAUGCCAUGGCCCAUGCCAAAGUCUUCCUGAAGUAGGGGGAAUUGAUCGGCCUGAUCAUCAUGGACGAGCUGUUGAUCAAGGUUGAC
Molecule: long non-coding RNA, 205 nt
Filed under: Lathyrus oleraceus (garden pea)
Lineage: Eukaryota; Viridiplantae; Streptophyta; Magnoliopsida; Fabales; Fabaceae
Description: Pisum sativum (pea) long non-coding RNA (PSAT_LNC027395)
Source: RNAcentral